GUGGGGAAUUUUGGACAAUGGGGGAAACCCUGAUCCAGCCAUGCCGCGUGUGUGAAGAAGGCCUUCGGGUUGUAAAGCACUUUCGGACGGAACGAAAUCGCGCGGGUGAACACCUCGCGUGGAUGACGGUACCGUAAGAAGAAGCACCGGCUAACUACGUGCCAGCAGCCGCGGUAAUACGUAGGGUGCGAGCGUUAAUCGGAAUUACUGGGCGUAAAGCGUGCGCAGGCGGCGUCGCAAGUCAGGCGUGAAAUCCCCGAGCUUAACUUGGGAAUUGCGCUUGAAACUACGAUGCUUGAGUGUGGCAGAGGGAGGUGGAAUUCCACGUGUAGCGGUGAAAUGCGUAGAUAUGUGGAGGAACACCGAUGGCGAAGGCAGCCUCCUGGGCCAACACUGACGCUCAUGCACGAAAGCGUGGGGAGCAAACAGGAUUAGAAACCCUAGUAGUCC
This 450-nucleotide ribosomal RNA is filed under the name uncultured bacterium. RNAcentral describes it as "bacterial SSU rRNA". It matches the Rfam family "Bacterial small subunit ribosomal RNA", at positions 354 to 796 of the family's 1533-position model. The record is from RNAcentral.